AGUAGAGGUGUCGGAUGGAACCCGAUCGGCGAUGACGGUGAGCUCCAAAAGAAAAAGAUUUCUCAGACGAAUCUGGAAGAAGAGUGAAUUGAAUCGACAACUUGGCAAGUCUCUUUGAGUUCAGCUAUCCGAUCUCCAUUUCAGUGUUCAUCAUCCAGAAAGAGCCAUUGAUUUCAAAAACAUAGUGGGUCCUGCUCUGUCUUUGAUCAACCCUUCUCUCGUCUUAAGUUCUGGGGUUGUUAGGUUUUUACUUAAGCUUCCAGGUUUUGUCGCUCAGCGAAAUUUUUUUGAUUUCUCCAUUCAGGAUAAGAAUUAUCGAACAAAGUUGAAUCUUUAGUUUUAGAAAGCAUUAUGGUUUCAUUACAAGAUAUUGCUAUGUCGAAUAUCUUCGGCUCUUUGUCUUUGCUCAAAUAUACUUAUAAUUUUGUGAUUAUCUAUCUUUUUAGGAAUGUAUCUUUGUAUUCGUUUGAUUCGAAACGAUACUGAAGGAGCUUUUGAUCCUCUCAAUCAAAUCUUUUGACUGCUAACUUUGUUUACGAUUGCGUAUUGCUAUUGAUUACUUACAUUUCGUAAAUUGUUUCCUUGAUUGAGUGUAGUGUGGUUUACGAAUAUUAGAAUUGGAAAUUUGAUCCUUUUUUUGCCUUAACUGAUUUGCGAAAUUCUACGGAACGAGAAUUUCCUUGAGGAACUCGUAUUUGUAGAAGAAUGUCAAGUGGAGACGAAAGUGUCUCUUUUCCGUGUAAUUUCUAUUCUUGAAACUGGCAAGGCCACAACUUGUUCAGAUGUUCAUCGGAGAUGGAGCAAAACUUGUUCGUGAUGCUUUUGUUGCUUGCAAAAGAGAAACCCCCUUGUAUUGUAUUCAUAGAUGAGAUUGACGCAAUAAGGAACAAAGCAUUUUGAUAGAUGUCAAUUUUGAAGAGCUUGCUCGAUCAACUGAUGAUUUCAAUGGAGCUCAGCUCAAAGCAGUGUGUGUUGAAGCGGGCAUGCUUGCCUUGCGCCGGAAUGCAACCGAGGUCAACCACGAGGAUUUCAAUCAAGGAAUAAUUCAAGUA
Molecule: long non-coding RNA, 1052 nt
Organism: Eutrema salsugineum
Lineage: Eukaryota; Viridiplantae; Streptophyta; Magnoliopsida; Brassicales; Brassicaceae
Exons: 4
Source: RefSeq, a predicted model, not a curated record